This 386-nucleotide long non-coding RNA is filed under the name Rattus norvegicus (Norway rat). RNAcentral's name for it is "long non-coding RNA NONRATT023736". The record is from RNAcentral. Lineage: Eukaryota; Metazoa; Chordata; Mammalia; Rodentia; Muridae.
UGAGGUCAGGGGGACUGUCGAACAAAGACCCACGGGGAGCUGCUGGCAGGACAGACAAGCAACCAGCAGCCCAAUUACACAGUGGCCAAGGCGCAGGGACACCUCCCAGCUGGCUCCCUCAGCUGCCUGGCUUUUCUCUAAGCCUUUUCUCCUAAUCCUCCUGAUCUCUUUACAACUCACCUGCCCGCAGCCCAGCUGGGUGACUUCUAACUGGGAUUUCUCCAAGAGGCUUACCUGGCCCUUCCUGGACUUGGCCCAGAGCGCCUUCCACCAUCCGGGAUGCUCCCUCCAGCUGGGGCAAAGGAGGGGACGGAGUUUUAUUUCUUCCUGUAUUUCUCCGGUCUUCCCUAAAGAAAAACAAAACAAAAUAAAACUUUUGUCUUUUU